AUUUUUGAGAGUUUGAUCCUGGCUCAGGAUGAACGCUGGCGGCGUGCCUAACACAUGCAAGUCGAGCGGAGGCAAU
This 76-nucleotide non-coding RNA is filed under the name Alkalithermobacter paradoxus. Its description in RNAcentral is "Clostridium thermoalcaliphilum Bacterial small subunit ribosomal RNA". It matches the Rfam family "Bacterial small subunit ribosomal RNA", at positions 1 to 76 of the family's 1533-position model. Lineage: Bacteria; Bacillati; Bacillota; Clostridia; Peptostreptococcales; Tepidibacteraceae. The record is from Rfam by way of RNAcentral.